GACGAACGCUGGCGGCGUGCCUAAUACAUGCAAGUCGAGCGCAGGAAACUGACGGAACUCUUCGGAGGGAAGGCAGUGGAAUGAGCGGCGGACGGGUGAGUAACACGUAAGGAACCUGCCUCAAGGAUUGGGAUAACUCCGAGAAAUCGGAGCUAAUACCGGAUAGUUCAACGGACCGCAUGGUCCGUUGAUGAAAGGCGCUCCGGCGUCACCUUGAGAUGGCCUUGCGGUGCAUUAGCUAGUUGGUGGGGUAACGGCCCACCAAGGCGACGAGGGAUAGCCGCCCUGAGAGGGUGAUCGGCCACCCUGGGACUGAGACACGGCCCAGACUCCUACGGGAGGCAGCAGUAGGGAAUCUUCCACAAUGGACGAAAGUCUGAUGGAGCAACGCCGCGUGAGUGAUGAAGGUUUUCGGAUCGUAAAACUCUGUUGUAAGGGAAGAACACGUACGAGAGGGAAUGCUCGUACCUUGACGGUACCUUACGAGAAAGCCACGGCUAACUACGUGCCAGCAGCCGCGGUAA
RNAcentral lists this ribosomal RNA (524 nucleotides) under uncultured bacterium. RNAcentral's name for it is "partial 16S ribosomal RNA". It matches the Rfam family "Bacterial small subunit ribosomal RNA", at positions 28 to 523 of the family's 1533-position model. The record is from RNAcentral.